CCUUGAAAGUCUACUUUCAAGGGGAGGCGAGUUCCGAUUUGGUAGGUGACCUUUGCCGGUUACAUGCCUUCGUUGCUCGCUAAGCUUCCCAGUAGUCGUUGUGCAGGACGCCUUUUGGCUUUCGACCUGAGGUCAGGCAAACACCCGCUGAACUUAAGCAUAUCAAUAAGCGGAGGAAAAGAAACUAACUAGGAUUCCCUUAGUAGCGGCGAGCGAACCGGGAUGAGCCCAACUUGUAAAUCAUUAGCCUUCGGCUGAUUGAAUUGUAGUCUCAAGAUGCGAUCUCUGCAGCUAGCAGUGCCCAAUUUUCCUUGGAAAAGGGAGUCAGAGAGGGUGAGAACCCCGUCGGCACUUGCCUCAGCUGCUCCACGAGGCGUUUUCUCAGAGUCGGGUUGCUUGGGAAUGCAGCCCUAAGUAGGUGGUAAAUCCCAUCUAAGGCUAAAUACUGACGGGAGACCGAUAGCGAACAAGUACCGUGAGGGAAAGAUGAAAAGAACUUUGAAAAGAGAGUCAAAAGUGCUUGAAAUUGUUGAGGGGGAAGGAAUUGGAAGCCGUUUGUGCGCCCGGGCUUAAGUGGGCAAUUCUGCCCAUUGUACGCCUUGGGUGCCGGUCAGCAUCGGCUACUGGACCGGGAUAAUAACUUUCCUUGGAGAGUGCAUGUCGGCCCGGUGGCCGAGGAUUUGAAAGG
This 688-nucleotide ribosomal RNA is filed under the name Trebouxia sp. ex Acarospora conafii. Its description in RNAcentral is "Trebouxia sp. ex Acarospora sp. PJ-2019a partial 26S ribosomal RNA". The stretch from base 123 to 688 matches the Rfam family "Eukaryotic large subunit ribosomal RNA", at positions 1 to 574 of the family's 3401-position model. The record is from RNAcentral. Lineage: Eukaryota; Viridiplantae; Chlorophyta; Trebouxiophyceae; Trebouxiales; Trebouxiaceae.